ACUUAACUAAGGUCACAUAGUAAAAGGGGAGAGGCCACCUUGGAAUACAGGACCCUCCUGAUAGGGCAGGACAAGAGAAAGAAUAUGGAACUGGAACUCACAAGAAGACCUUGAGCUGAUAAUGAUUGAUCACUAUAAGAAACAUGAGAAGAAAAUAUGAACAGAUGCAAAAUAUAGUAAUCAGAACCAGGAAAACAACAUAAACAGCUAUGAUGAUGAAGCAGAAAGAUGAAACAGAUGACUUCUCAAGACCCUUUCCAAGUCCCUGGGAUACAAGAAAGCCUGCUUUAAUAAGUAUGAACUAUCAAUACAGAUCUUAUAGACUUUCAGAGAUUGGUCAUGGAUCAACUUUGGAAAAACUGUGUGGCCUAGAUGAACUGCAACAGCUUCCUAUGAAUAAACAAAUCUUGAAUUGAGUACUUACUGUACCCUAGGACCUUCGCUAGAAAGAGAGAAGAAAUGCAAAGAAACAAUCAAAAAAACCUGCAAAGCAAGAAGCAAAGAGAAAAAAAGGAAGAAAGGAAGUUUGAUAUUGAAUACCAUCACUGGAAAUGUGUAGCACUUGAAAGUAAUAGAAAUAGUCUGUGGUAAA
Monodelphis domestica (gray short-tailed opossum) is the source of this 592-nucleotide long non-coding RNA. RefSeq lists it as uncharacterized. Lineage: Eukaryota; Metazoa; Chordata; Mammalia; Didelphimorphia; Didelphidae. The record is from RefSeq and is a predicted model, not a curated record.